GACGAACGCUGGCGGCGUGCUUAAUACAUGCAAUUCGAACGGGCGGACCUAGCAGUUUUACUUCGGUCUUGUCUUUAUCAAAUUGAGCGCCGGAUGGUUGCGUACCCUGUGCUGUACCUGCACUUUAGUCUGCUAUACCUCUUGCCAGCUGGUACUACUACCUGCUAAGCAAGCAGAUCGCAUGAUCAGCUGUUAUGAAUCGGCUUACGCUUUCUCUGUUUGAUGGUCCGGGAGUGCAUUAGCUAGUUGUUAAGGUAUAGGCUUACCAAGGCGAUGAUGCAUAGCCGAGUGGAGAGACUGAUCGGCCGAAUUGGGACUGAGACACGGCCCAAACGCCUAAGGGAAGCAGCAGUAGGGAAUCUUCCACAAGGGGCGCAAGUCUGAUAGAGCAACGCCGCGUGAGUGAAGAAGGUGUGCGGAUCGUAAAGCACUGUUGGUGGUGAAGAAGGAUAGAGGUAGGAACUGGCCUUUAGUUGACGGUAAUCAAACAGAAAGAAACGGCUAACUACGUG
RNAcentral lists this ribosomal RNA (512 nucleotides) under uncultured bacterium. RNAcentral's name for it is "partial 16S ribosomal RNA". It matches the Rfam family "Bacterial small subunit ribosomal RNA", at positions 28 to 507 of the family's 1533-position model. The record is from RNAcentral.